CCCGUAGUAACGGCGAGUGAAGUGGGAAGUAGCCCAGCACCGAAUCCCCGAGAACACGUUUCGACGGGACCUGUGGUGUUAGGGGCCCCGUCCUUUGGUCAGAUCAACUGUGCUCAAGUCGCAUUGAAGGGUAACAUGCUCCAUAGCGGGUGUCAGACCCUUCGCCGGCCGGUUCGAUCGAUCGAUAAGCGCGGGCCCCAAGAGUCGGGUUGUUUGAGAACGCAGCCCAAAGACGGUGGUAAUUUCCAUCGAAGGCUAAAUACUACCACGAGUCCGAUAGCGAACAAGUACCGUGAGGGAACGUUGAAAAGGACUUCGAAGAGAGAGUUCAAUAGUACGUGAAACCGCCUAAAGGAAAACGAGUGGCUCCGCAUUGUCGGUCCGCGGCGAUCACGCUGUAUGCAUGGCGAAUCUCAGUCGAUCGAGACGAUCGCCUCACUCGUGAGGCCAGUAGCUCUCGACUUGCAGGUUGCUGUCGUGUGUGCGUGUGUACUCACCGCGCGACGGAGCGUCACGAUUGCUUUCUUGCGGCCCGUGGAGCGCAUUCAGACGAGUUUCGGCAGUCGGUUCGUCCGACCGCUGUACGAGUUCUGUCGUGGUUCCCGGAGUCCGAGGGAGCAAGUAACGAUCACCUCGACGUGGUUGUCCGUUAGCUGCGCCGAGGAUGGGCGACCCUCUGACCAGGGGUCCCUGUCCUGGCGUCAUGCGGGCGACUUUCCCGAGGUUUCUGAUCGGUGACGAAUUAGUCGGCCC
This 753-nucleotide ribosomal RNA is filed under the name Bathysciadiidae sp. MNHN IM 2013-42777. RNAcentral's name for it is "partial large subunit ribosomal RNA". It matches the Rfam family "Eukaryotic large subunit ribosomal RNA", at positions 77 to 640 of the family's 3401-position model. The record is from RNAcentral. Lineage: Eukaryota; Metazoa; Mollusca; Gastropoda; Bathysciadiidae.